RNAcentral lists this unclassified non-coding RNA (337 nucleotides) under soil metagenome. RNAcentral describes it as "partial contains 5.8S ribosomal RNA, internal transcribed spacer 2, and large subunit ribosomal RNA". The stretch from base 1 to 120 matches the Rfam family "5.8S ribosomal RNA", at positions 35 to 154 of the family's 154-position model. The record is from RNAcentral.
GAUGAAGAACGUAGCGAAAUGCGAUAAGUAGUGUGAAUUGCAGAAUUCAGUGAAUCAUCGAAUCUUUGAACGCACAUUGCGCCCCUUGGUAUUCCAUGGGGCAUGCCUGUUCGAGCGUCAUCUACACCCUCAAGCUCUGCUUGGUGUUGGGCGUCUGUCCCGCCCCCGCGCGUGGACUCGCCCCAAAUCCAUUGGCAGCGUUCCUUGCCCCCUCUCGCGCAGCACAUUGCGCUUCUCGAGGGCGGCUCCGGGACGCGAUCCAGCAAGAUGACCACCGUCUUUGACCUCGGAUCAGGUAGGGAUACCCGCUGAACUUAAGCAUAUCAAUAAGCGAGGA